Molecule: ribosomal RNA, 2705 nt
Filed under: Ignavibacteriota bacterium
Lineage: Bacteria; Pseudomonadati; Ignavibacteriota
Description: Ignavibacteriae bacterium partial 23S ribosomal RNA
Rfam family: Bacterial large subunit ribosomal RNA
Source: RNAcentral
AUUUUUUGGUUAAGUUACUAAGAGCAUACGGUGGAUGCCUUGGCACGGAUAGGCGAUGAAGGACGUGGUUACCUGCGAUAAGCCUCGGAUAGGUGGAAGCAACCUUAGACCCGGGGAUGUCCGAAUGGAGCAAUCCAUACAGAGUAAUGUCUGUAUACUCUAUACUGAAUACAUAGGUAUAGCAGAGCUAACCUAGGGAACUGAAACAUCUAAGUACCUAGUGGAAAAUAAAACAAUAGUGAUUUCCUGAGUAGCGGCGAGCGAAACGGAAAGAGCCUAAACUUUCUGAUGUGUUAAAGACUGCAAUCCUUGCAUCAGAGGUGUCGUGGGACUUUCAGGCUGAUUUGCAGUAAGCCAGAGAGUAAGAAACUAAUUUGUUAGUUGAAUGACUUGGAAAGGUCAGCCAUAGAAUGUGAAAGCCAUGUAAACGAAAACAUUUUAGCUCUCGAAAGUAUCCCGAGUACCACGGAGUAAGUGGAAUUCUGUGGGAAUCUGCGAGAACCAUCUCGUAAGGCUAAAUACUCAUUCGUGACCGAUAGUGAACAAGUACCGUGAGGGAAAGGUGAAAAGCACUCCUUACAGGAGGGUGAAAUAGUACCUGAAACCGUCUGCUUACAAACGGUAGGAGUCUGCCAUGACCGGCUUGCCGGUUAUGGAGGAUGACUGCGUGCCUUUUGCUUAAUGAACCAACGAGUUACUCGUAUCAUGCGAGGAUAAGUUCUUCAGGAACGUAUCCGCAGCGAAAGCAAGUCCGAAAUGGGCGAUUCAGUAUGAUGCGGUAGACGCGAAACCAGUGUGAUCUAGUCUUGGCCAGGAUGAAGCCCCGGUAACACGGGGUGGAGGUCCGAACCAGUGUGGGUUGAAAACCGCUUGGAUGAGCUGAGACUAGGAGCGAAAGACUAAUCAAACUUGGAGAUAGCUCGUUCUCCUCGAAAUAGCUUUAGGGCUAGCCUCGGAUAAAAGUAUGAUGGAGGUAGAGCACUGAUUGGGGUAGGGCUGUCACAACGGUACCAAACCCAGACAAACUCCGAAUUCCAUACAUAUGUUCUCCGGGAGUCAGGCAGUGGGGGAUAAGCUUCAUUGCCAAAAGGGAAAGAACCCAGACCACCUGCUAAGGUCCCCAAGUCUAUGUUAACAGACUAAGGAUGUUAGAUUGCUCAGACAACUAGGAUGUUGGCUUAGAAGCAGCCAUUCAUUUAAAGAGUGCGUAAUAGCUCACUAGUCAAGCGAUCUAGCGCCGAUAAUACUCGGGACUUAAACAUAGCACCGAAGCAGUGGACUCAGCAGCAAUGUUGAGUGGUAGAGGAGCAUUCUAUUAGCGAACCUUUAUAUGGUGUACUUCGGUACGAAGGCGCAUGGUAACGUGUGCUGGAGCGAAUAGAAAAGAAGAUGUUGGUAUAAGUAACGAUAAUGCAGAUGUGAAAUCUGCACACCGAAAAUCUAAGGAUUCCUGAGCAACGUUAAUCGUCUCAGGGUUAGUCGGUUCCUAAGCCGAGGCCGAAAGGCGUAGGUAAUGGAAGACAGGUUAAUAUUCCUGUACCACCGAAAUUUUAACUUGGGGGACGCAGAAGUGAAAGGAAAGCCACCUGCUGGAUUAGGUGGUCUAAGGUCGUAGUAUUGAGCAAUCAGUAUGAAAGCCGAACGGGAUGGCGCAAGCCUCUAAACUUUCCCUAAUCAUGCUGCCAAGAAAAGCCCAAGCGUAUACUAAGGUGACCGUACCGUAAACCGACACAGGUAGAUGAGGAGAGUAUCCUAAGGUGCUCGAGUGAGCCGUGGUUAAGGAACUCGGCAAAUUAACCCCGUAACUUCGGGAUAAGGGGUGCCCCACUUGGUGGGGCCGCAGAGAAAUGGGCCAAGCGACUGUUUAACAAAAACACAUGUCUAUGCUAAGCCGUGAAGGCGCUGUAUAUGGACUGACACCUGCCCGGUGCUGGAAGGUUAAGGAGAGAGGUCAUCCCUUCGGGGAGAAGCUUUGAACCGAAGCCCCAGUAAACGGCGGCCGUAACUAUAACGGUCCUAAGGUAGCGAAAUUCCUUGUCGGGUAAGUUCCGACCUGCACGAAUGGUGUAACGAUUUGGUCACUGUCUCAACCACGGGCUCGGUGAACUUGUGGUACCGGUGAAGACGCCGGUUACCCGCAUAUGGACGGAAAGACCCCGUGCACCUUUACUGCACCCUAGCACUGGAUUCGGGCAAUCCAUGUGUAGAAUAGGUGGGAGACUUUGAAGCGGCGGCGCUAGCCGUCGUGGAGUCGCAAUGUGAAAUACCACCCUUGGCUUGUUUGAGUUCUAACCCUUCACGCUGAAUCGCGUGAGGAGACACUGUUAGGCGGGUAGUUUGACUGGGGCGGUCGCCUCCUAAAUUGUAACGGAGGCUCCCAAAGGUAUCCUCAACCUGGUUGGUAAUCAGGUGUUGAGCGUAAAUGCAAAAGGAUGCUUAACUGCGAGACCUACAAGUCGAGCAGAUGCGAAAGCAGGGAUUAGUGAUCUGCCGGUUCCGAGUGGAAGGGCCGGCACUUAAAGGAUAAAAGGUACGCCGGGGAUAACAGGCUGAUCUCCUCCAAGAGUUCAUAUCGACGAGGAGGUUUGGCACCUCGAUGUCGGCUCAUCGCAUCCUGGGGCUGGAGAAGGUCCCAAGGGUUUGGCUGUUCGCCAAUUAAAGCGGUACGUGAGCUGGGUUCAGAACGUCGUGAGACAGUUCGGUCC